GAUGAAGAACGCAGCGAAAUGCGAUACGUAAUGUGAAUUGCAGAAUUCAGUGAAUCAUCGAGUCUUUGAACGCACAUUGCGCCCUCUGGUAUUCCGGAGGGCAUGCCUGUCCGAGCGUCAUUGCUGCCCUCAAGCACGGCUUGUGUGUUGGGCUCCGUCCCCCGAUCCCGGGGGACGGGCCCGAAAGGCAGCGGCGGCACCGCGUCCGGUCCUCGAGCGUAUGGGGCUUUGUCACCCGCUCUGUAGGCCCGGCCGGCGCUUGCCGAUCAACCAAAUUUUUAUCCAGGUUGACCUCGGAUCAGGUAGGAAUACCCACUGAACUUAAGCAUAUCAAUAAGCGGAGGA
This 345-nucleotide unclassified non-coding RNA is filed under the name soil metagenome. RNAcentral describes it as "partial contains 5.8S ribosomal RNA, internal transcribed spacer 2, and large subunit ribosomal RNA". The stretch from base 1 to 120 matches the Rfam family "5.8S ribosomal RNA", at positions 35 to 154 of the family's 154-position model. The record is from RNAcentral.